GCGAAGGAGCUUUCUUUUUUCUUCAACUCCGGUCAUCUUCUUUUCUUUUGAUUCUACAAUUCUUCUCGCAUUUUAUCUCUUAGCAAGAUGACAUCUUUCUCAUUCCCUCGUCCGACGAUCGAGAAAAAGCAGCUCGAGGCCCUAUAUUCUUUGUUUGGCGUUGAUCGCGCCGUGAUCUGCGACACCGCUUCCGACUUUGAGACCCUGUAGAAUGUCAGGGAAGGGUAUUGUGGAGUGUAUUUUUCUUUCUCUGAGACAUGUGGCAUCUCCUUCCUAAUUCCUAGACAGGUGCUGGAGAUGCUUGGCGAGCACGGCCUUUCCCUUCACUCAGAUGUGUCCUAAUCUCUUUAUACAGCUUCUGGCGACUUUGGUCAGAGCCAGGGAGGAAAAUCUUCUGUCUGAUCUCGAAGAAUUGCGACCAUGGGAGAUUUCGAUUUCUCCUUACUUCCCCAACUCUGGGCCAAGGAUAUCGUUCACUCGGGGGUUUCUCCGAUGUCAGAUCAGCUUCUAGGCAUGCUGAGCGUCUUGAGGCGGAGGAAACGAAUUCGGACCUCGCUGCUACUCCCUCUUGGUUCGGAUAUGGCUCCCAUAAUCCCUGAGCCGAUCGAGUUGAUCGGAGAUAUUUAUUCUUCCGAUCGCGGAGAUGAACCUGUUUCUUCCGAGCUUCCUCCUAGUAUAACUCGUCAAGAGAGACGCUUAUCGAGGAGGUCGUUUGUUUCGGACUUCCGGGUCGAUAUUGAGGAGAUCAUCGGUGGAUUUUGCUCCGCAGUCGCAUAGAUCGCCAGUAUCUUUGAGCUCUAGCUCGGAAGAGGAUGCCUCGAUUCGCAAGCGCAAACCUACUAGGACACCGCAAAGUACUUCUCCGGGACCAUCACGUGUCUCUUUGAGGAAGAAGAAGCAAAAGAUCGGGGGAGACGAUGUCGUCUCGGAGCCUAUGGUCGACGUUGAUAUCGAGUGCUUGACUGAUGGCGUUAACCCAGAAGGUUUUAAGACGACUUUCUUUGCUUCCAUAUAGGAGCAAGAAGACUAUACAAAGGUCGUUGAAGCCAACGCCAAGGUCAUAGAUGCCUGCAACGUCCUUGUCUUAAGGAUGGGGGAGCACGCGAGGACUUCUCGAAGAGAUGCGGAGAUCAAAAAAAUCUUCCUUGAUUUCAAGAUGAUCUCGGCGGUACUCGAAGUAAAAUGAAACUUAUACUUGACUCAACCUUUAUAUAUAAGUAAAAGAACAAUGCACCACAAUUCAAACAGUUUUUAGUUACAUUAAUAUUUAGUGAUAUGACAAGUUACAUCUGAAAUGUCAUAAAGGUUUUUAUAAUUUCAAAUAUGAUGUUCAUCUAAUAGGGUCUAAUUGAAUCUUGUACAACCAAAGAUAUUAAA
This is a long non-coding RNA of Raphanus sativus (radish), 1377 nucleotides long. RefSeq lists it as uncharacterized. The record is from RefSeq and is a predicted model, not a curated record. NCBI's taxonomy places the organism in Eukaryota, Viridiplantae, Streptophyta, Magnoliopsida, Brassicales, Brassicaceae. The transcript is spliced from 3 exons.